AAGAAAUUGGAAUCGAGGCAAGGAACCCAUUGAUCCGGGGUCCGGGUAGAAUACCUGCCUUCGGAGUAUCGCGGCCAUGGCCCUUAGAUUCGAUUCAAACCCCAAACGCCUCAGAGAGCAUUAUCAGCCGAUCGAGCAUGACUAACAAAAGGCCGUGCUAUUCGUGAUCAACCGGAUAUCACGGCAUGAAUUUCGACACGUAUCAGCAGAGGACCAGUGAUUAGUUAAACAUAAGAUUUUACCUUUUAUGAAAUUGUACUUAUGGUAAAACUCUCCUGCUAUAUGACAGGAGUCUAAUUAUUCAUUAGGUAUAUUGUAC
This 319-nucleotide long non-coding RNA is filed under the name Nicotiana benthamiana. Its description in RNAcentral is "long non-coding RNA (NBEN_LNC024386)". The record is from RNAcentral. Lineage: Eukaryota; Viridiplantae; Streptophyta; Magnoliopsida; Solanales; Solanaceae.